AUGCGGCCAGUGUGCGUUGGCCUCAGUGCGUGCACUGCAAUUCAGAAUCGGAUGGAGAAGAACAAGAGGUGGUCGGGUAGUGAGGACGCCGGACCCGGCGGCCAGCGCGGCGGGGAAUCGCCAAUCGCUGAUACUAGUUGGGCCACGCCUGGGGCUACAGCCCCAGUUGCCCCAGGCCCAGAAAUAGGGGGCUGCACGAAAUUGCAAUCCUUGAAGACAAACAACAACAACAUGCUAGAUGCGAGCAACAAUAACCUCACUGGUGUGUUACCACGGCAACUCGGGAAGUUGGAGAUGCUGGAAUUUCUGAAUUUAUCACAUAAUCAGUUUAGUGGCAGCAUCCCAUCAUCCUUUGCGAGCAUGAGAAAACCACAAGAAAGUGUUACCACUGAAUCAAGGGACCUAUUCUCUGUUUGGAAUUUUGAUGGAAGAUUAGCAUUUGACGAUAUUGGAAGUCUCCACAGGACAUUGGAAAAUGAGGUGCUAGCAAAGGAAUUGGAUUGGCAGAAGAGAAUUGCUAUUGCAAAUGAUGUGGCUGAGGCAGUAUCUUAUUUGCACCAUGAAUGCACUCCACCUAUAAUACAUCGAGAUAUCACAAGCAAUAACAUCUUACUUGAUACAUCCUUGAAGGCUUUUGUCUCAGAUUUUGGCACAGCAAGGAUUCUUAAGCCCGAUUCAUCAAACUGGAGUGCACUAGCAGGAACAUAUGGCUACAUUGCUCCUGAAAUGGCAUACACAUCUGUUGUGAGUGAGAAAUGUGACUUCUAUAGCUUUGGCGUGGUUCUGCUAGAGUUAGUGGUGGGCAAGCAUCCAAGGGCUCUAUUAGAUGAUAGCUCAAGCGGGGAACAAGAUGUGAUGGUGAAAGAUAUUCUAGACCAGCGGCCGACAACACCAAAAAGAACAUAA
This 906-nucleotide ribosomal RNA is filed under the name Triticum aestivum (bread wheat). RNAcentral describes it as "partial small subunit ribosomal RNA". The record is from RNAcentral. Lineage: Eukaryota; Viridiplantae; Streptophyta; Magnoliopsida; Poales; Poaceae.